UGGAAAUGGUGAGGGCCAUGUCUUGGGUUGGGUUUUAGGGUUUGGGCGGUGGGGUAGAAACAAACGGUACAGAAUCUAGCGACAGACGAGGGAGAGAGGGACAAGCAAAUCUAGGGCUUUUGUUUUAACCGGGAGGAAAUCAUACCGGAGAUGGAAUCAGUACGCCACCAGACAACGUUCUCCUUUACGGUCUAUCUCUCAUGACAAUGAAAGAAGCAGCAAGAGCAUGUGUUCUCUCCCACCGCUGGAAAAAGCUUUGGACUUCUAUCCCGAGUUUGAGUUUUGAUGGUUCAAUGACACUAUAUGACUACGAAGCACGGAACAACAAUUAAAAGGCAAAUUUAGCUUUAGAUACAAAACUUGGGUGAAUUCUUUCCUGGAAUUAUACCAGGGUCCUGCUGUAGAUGAAUUCAAGAUUCGAUUUGAUUUGGAUCAACGCUACAGUUGAAUUGGCUCACACCAUCUGGGAGAGGGAUGGCGAAAAGAGUUCCGGAAAGUCCCCAUUAUUGCCUUAAGGUCGUGGAAAUACUUGGCUUUGUAGAAAUUUUGACAUAUAUCAUCAAGAAUGCAG
Non-coding RNA from Theobroma umbraticum, 571 nucleotides. Lineage: Eukaryota; Viridiplantae; Streptophyta; Magnoliopsida; Malvales; Malvaceae. The record is from RefSeq and is a predicted model, not a curated record.